GAUAUUGCGAAACCAAACUUGGUAUAAGAGCUCCCAACACUGCUAAACUGGUCAUCGCUAAACCUUUAAAAAAAAAAAAAAAGCAUUCGCUGGUACCCAGAUUUCCACAGGAGUUAAACAUUUCCUGCGCAGCUAAAGCAAGUCUUACCAGUAGGAAACCGGAACUUGCUAGGACUAAGAAACUUGAGGCUAGGCUGACCCCAUGGUUGUUAUGAUUAGAAAUCCGAGGCCACUGGAAACCCGGAGCUGCUGACCAACGAGUCACAGGGUAACUUCGCCUUCGCAUGGGGAAACGGGCUGGUGCAGUGGUGUCAUCUUGGCUCAGUGCAGCCUCGACUUCCUGGGAUCCAGCGAUCCUCCCGCUUCAGCCUCUAGAGUAGCCGAGACCACAGGAUUUGGAAGAGGGCAGGAGAGAAAAAUGAACUGCAAGACUCCAGCACAAGAGGUGGGAUUGCUGGCAGAUGUCUGCUCCCUCUCCAAACCUAAUGAACAUCUCAAAGUGCCAUCCACUUUCCUAUACCCUUGAUCUGUGAAAUGGAUCACUGACGCUUUCUCUGUCUUUCCGGAAAUGCAAAACAGGAACAGAAACAACACACUCAGACUUGAGAAACUGGUCUGGUUUAAAAGGGUUCCUGGCCUUACAGGUGGGUAAGAAAUGUCACUUCCUGGCAGGCUGAGGAACAUCAGGAUAUUUGGAGGACCUUGACAAGGGAAGAAUUCACCGAAAUCUAUAGAAAGAAAAGCCCCUAUAAAUGUGGCUCCUAAAUAUCCAGCCCUCGAGGUUGUUCCUUUGCAGGAGUCUGUUCCUUUUGGCCGGCUGCUGAACCUAGGGAGGCAGCGUGGGAUGGAGUUGGCAAACAUCCUGCAAGUCCACGACCCAUGAAGAGCCGCUAUGGUACCACUAGCAGUGCUAGGACCCAGAAACUAGCGAAACUGUUUAGGAGAAGCUGCGGGCUGGACCCACCAGCGGUGCUGCCACGGAGGUCAAUCCUGCUUUGACAAGUGAGCGGUGCUGCAACUGAGAAAGUUACAGUCUGAGGAACCAGGGGUACUGGGACACAGGAAAAGGAGUCAGCCAGCUUGCUUUAGGCACACAGUAAGGGAAGGGUCCCCAGAGAACCUCCGGAAUAAAAGAACUUGCACAGGCGCCUGGCCUAAAUGUGCCCUUGCUGACUAAGGGCCCGCAUAUGCACUGGGGCAAUGGGGGUGGAGCCACCAGGAAUUUGCGCCUUAUACAAACAGGGAACCUAGCCCCAUCAGCUUUUAAAUAAAAGCCCUUGUAUUUAAAUAUUAAGGGGGCAACCAGAAACCUGUUCUCAGGACCCCUCUUUUUGCUGUGAGCUUUCCUUUUCGCUUAGUAAAUUCUACUGCAC
Molecule: long non-coding RNA, 1373 nt
Filed under: Homo sapiens (human)
Lineage: Eukaryota; Metazoa; Chordata; Mammalia; Primates; Hominidae
Description: ANXA2R antisense RNA 1
Source: RNAcentral